CACUUUUGGAAGCGGUGACAUAGCGCUUUAUUACUGUAAAUUUUAUCGAAGGCAGUUGGUUUAAAAGUUUAAACGUAGGUCAAAAUACAUAACCACGAGAUAUUUUUCUUAGCGGGAAAAGUUAUUGAAGAAACUAUGGUGAAUAAAAUAUUCUUGGCGAUAAUCUUCACAUUUUGGGCAUUAUUUUAUGCGAACGCUUUGCAACCGAAAGCACCAAAUUUUCAAUAUUUCGAAAGGCCAAAGUAUCGUUAUCCAUAUUAUGAUGAAAACGGGAACGGUAAACUUCUUUACGGAUAUGGCGACGACAAACUGUAUCAGUACAAAGUAUUUACGCCACUGGAAGGAAUCCAUUAGUACCUAAAACUCAUUAAUCCAAUUAAAUUUGGAUUUUUAGAUUUUCAUGUAUAUAAUAUAUAAACGAUAAUGUACGUAGUUACGUAGUUAGUUCUGACUCAUUUAAGCGGCCUAAUUAUAUUAUAUCUAGAAUCGCGUGCCCAGUGCAAAUUUAUUUAAUAUUUGUUGUUAAAAUAUUUUUUACAAUAUAAAGUGUUUCAAUAAUUUUUACGUGUCUUAAAAUUAACAAUUUAGACGUGGUUUUUAUUCAAGCGACACUUAUUGCAGGAAAAAAUGUUAAUGUACUUAGGAAUUAAAAUUUGGAGUGAUUUCGUUAUUUUGUUGGUAUUUUUUUAAAAAAUAGUUCGCGAUUUGACAUCAGUGCUUUUAGCGUUUCAUCCGAUCAACAUUAAACGAAAAGCUUACCGAUUAAAUAUUAAAUAACAGAACUCUAGCAAUAAUAUGAUUGCAACUUCCUGACAAACGAGUUUAAUUGCGAGCAAAGCGAUUUACUGAUACUCAGCCUUCUGCAAUAUUUAAUAUUUCUUUCAUAGAGAGCGCUUUUAAUUUUUGCUAGUUUGAAGGUACAAUGCGAAAGUGUCCUGAGAUAUUGUUUUGGGGCUAUUUUCUACA
Long non-coding RNA from Cylas formicarius (sweet potato weevil), 966 nucleotides. RefSeq lists it as uncharacterized. The record is from RefSeq and is a predicted model, not a curated record. Lineage: Eukaryota; Metazoa; Arthropoda; Insecta; Coleoptera; Brentidae. The transcript has 3 exons.